AAUUUUCAAUUUGAUAAAUACCACGUUAACAUAAAUAACCUAUAAAUCAAUUAUUGAAGAUUAUAAAGAGAGAGUUUUAUAUCACUUAAAUUAAAAAUAAGUGUUUUGUAUUAUAAAUUAAAAUUUAGAUACUUACUGUUAUAUACCUUUAAAUUAAGAUAUUAUUUGUAUAAUUUAUCCUAAACUAGUUCCAGUAGCUUAACCAUUUUGUUGGUAUUGGAAGUAUGAGGAUUUUGACUUCAAAAUAAUGAAACUAACAUAUACACUUUCUGAUUGGGAAUAAUUUUAUAUAUAAAAAGAUAUAUAUAUAAAAAAAAAAAU
Molecule: unclassified non-coding RNA, 321 nt
Filed under: Hevea brasiliensis (rubber tree)
Lineage: Eukaryota; Viridiplantae; Streptophyta; Magnoliopsida; Malpighiales; Euphorbiaceae
Source: RNAcentral